RNAcentral lists this ribosomal RNA (119 nucleotides) under Pteropus alecto (black flying fox). Lineage: Eukaryota; Metazoa; Chordata; Mammalia; Chiroptera; Pteropodidae. The record is from RNAcentral.
GUCUAUGGCCAUGCUACCCUGAACAAGCCUGAUCCCGUCUGAUCUCAGAAGCUAAGCAGGGUCAGGCCUGGUUAGUACUUGGAUAAGAGACCACCUAGGAAGACCAAGUGCUAUAGGUG